CUUUAAGCACAGCUCGCGGAGUUGGCACGAAACGAGCCGAUCAGCGGUCGCAGCACCCGCUGCAAGAGCUCCGCGGCGCGUCGACAGCGACGGCUGGGAACGGGAAGGACCCUAUGGGGUCCUCACUAAAGGAUGGAUCUGUCUAUGGUGAAUUCCUUUUCGGAGCUCCAGAUAACUCCAUUCCACACCUUGUUUUCUUGGAUGCAAAGGAAUCGUUCGCAGCGUCGCACCUGCCGUAGCGAAUAUUAGCUCACUCGUCAGAAUCCUGGAGAAGAAAUAGGAUAAUAAAUCCAGCAGGCAAUCGCUUAGACGAGCCCUGCCGUUCUUGGCGGGAAAAAUGAAUUUCAACAAUUUUCCGCACUCUGGCUGCCAUGGCACUGCUCAGGCAUGUAUGUCCUAUCCAGACUGUGGGCCAAGUUCCCUGGAACCAAAUAAGCACACAGCUGUGGCAAGAAGCUUCUGACUGCCUGUCAUCUUUCUCUGAGGCAGCCUGUUCUGCUGAGCAGGUACUUAUUCUUCAUCAAGAGGCUUCUGAUGACAGAGAUCCUGUGCAGAAACUCCUAGCUCGGCAAUUUGUCUUUGUAUAUUCCUCCAAAGCAGAGCUUAAGAGAAGUGAAGAGAUGGAUAGUAAGAAGUCAGAAGCUGUGGUUACUCUC
This 656-nucleotide long non-coding RNA is filed under the name Salvator merianae (Argentine black and white tegu). RNAcentral describes it as "lncRNA (ENSSMRG00000020095.1)". Lineage: Eukaryota; Metazoa; Chordata; Lepidosauria; Squamata; Teiidae. The record is from RNAcentral.